AAGUCGUAACAAGGUUUCCGUAGGUGAACCUGCGGAAGGAUCAUUACAAAAACAAAAUCCAAACCACACCACUGUGCUCUUUAUUGUGAGAAAAAUGUCUUUGUGUGUUGUUUGUUGGGGGAGAGGAGAAGAAUUUAUUUUUCCCCUUUCUUUCCUUCACACACACACAAGCUUUUUUCCUCACAUGUCUUUGUUUUCAAUUUUUCAUUACUCCUUGUUUAACCAACAACGGAUUACAAUGUUAAAACUUGAAACAAACAAACAAAACAAAAUGACAACUUUUAACGGUGGAUCUCUUGGCUCGU
RNAcentral lists this unclassified non-coding RNA (305 nucleotides) under fungal sp. Its description in RNAcentral is "partial internal transcribed spacer region". The stretch from base 1 to 46 matches the Rfam family "Eukaryotic small subunit ribosomal RNA", at positions 1786 to 1831 of the family's 1831-position model. Lineage: Eukaryota; Fungi. The record is from RNAcentral.